This 647-nucleotide long non-coding RNA is filed under the name Brassica napus (rape). RNAcentral's name for it is "long non-coding RNA (BNAP_LNC009699)". Lineage: Eukaryota; Viridiplantae; Streptophyta; Magnoliopsida; Brassicales; Brassicaceae. The record is from RNAcentral.
GUAGCUCUACUGAUAGCCCCCACGAACCCCAUAAGUCUGAAGCAACGACUUUUAACCAAAGACCAAAAUAGUGUUCCAAAUAAAAAUCUCAUCGGCAAAUAUACCGCCAAGACCAAACCAACGACCAAAACAAAAACUUCUUAUUUAAAACGACUGCCCCUUCAACACAGAGCCAUAGAGGCACACACCACAUACUGGCACCAACAUCAAGAUAACAAAAUAAAGAAAUCAAACCACUAGGACCAGACUCAAUUCUAUAAGAUUUCAUCAGUGAAUCCAUCAUUAUUCAAAUCAUAAAAUUAAAAAACCGAAACCCUUCAUCCUGUCGGGUUCUUUGGCUUGGAGGAGGCCUUCUUGGUACCUUUCUCCCCUGCCUUUCAUGCCGCCUUUGCCAAGAGCUUCUUGCGGGGAGAAGUGAAAGCUGGUGCGAGACACUUCUUGGCUGCUCCACCCGUAGCCUAGUCCCCAUUUAGAGCCAUUUUCUUCUUUUUUGCUUCCUCAUCAGCAUCAUCUGCCUGCCCUUCCCCCUCAAUCUAGACCUCCUCGCUAGGCUGCACAGAGCUAUCCCCUUGAUCAGCCAAUUCUUGUUUCUCCACAUUCAAACCCUCUUCCUCCGUGAAAUCCAUGAUUUCACCAUGCUCCCACUC